AGCCUUUGUGUUGCCCGUUCACCCUUGUUCACUCGUGAAUGUGGUGUCAAAAAAGGCAUAAAGUAAUGCUUUUCAGCCCUCACUUACCCUGGAGUUUGGUUUCUUGGGUGUAAAGGCUGUGUAAAAAGUC
Onychomys torridus (southern grasshopper mouse) is the source of this 130-nucleotide small nucleolar RNA. RefSeq annotates it as small nucleolar RNA SNORA13. NCBI's taxonomy places the organism in Eukaryota, Metazoa, Chordata, Mammalia, Rodentia, Cricetidae. The transcript has a single exon. The record is from RefSeq and is a predicted model, not a curated record.